GCGCGGGCUUAGUUGGUGAGUGUGUAGCCGGGUUCGAUUCCCGGCCCGCGCA
Molecule: transfer RNA, 52 nt
Filed under: Caudoviricetes sp.
Lineage: Duplodnaviria; Heunggongvirae; Uroviricota; Caudoviricetes
Description: tRNA-Ser
Source: RNAcentral